This 484-nucleotide ribosomal RNA is filed under the name uncultured bacterium. RNAcentral's name for it is "partial 16S ribosomal RNA". It matches the Rfam family "Bacterial small subunit ribosomal RNA", at positions 30 to 507 of the family's 1533-position model. The record is from RNAcentral.
AUUGAACGCUGGCGGCAGGCCUAACACAUGCAAGUCGAGCGGAUGAAGGGAGCUUGCUCCUGGAUUCAGCGGCGGACGGGUGAGUAAUGCCUAGGAAUCUGCCUGGUAGUGGGGGAUAACGUCCGGAAACGGGCGCUAAUACCGCAUACGUCCUGAGGGAGAAAGUGGGGGAUCUUCGGACUUCACGCUAUCAGAUGAGCCUAGGUCGGAUUAGCUAGUUGGUGGGGUAAAGGCCUACCAAGGCGACGAUCCGUAACUGGUCUGAGAGGAUGGUCAGUCACACUGGAACUGAGACACGGUCCAGACUCCUACGGGAGGCAGCAGUGGGGAAUAUUGGACAAUGGGCGAAAGCCUGAUCCAGCCAUGCCGCGUGUGUGAAGAAGGUCUUCGGAUUGUAAAGCACUUUAAGUUGGGAGGAAGGGCAGUAAGUUAAUACCUUGCUGUUUUGACGUUACCAACAGAAUAAGCACCGGCUAACUUCGUG